This is an RNA transcript of Humulus lupulus (European hop), 2634 nucleotides long. RefSeq lists it as uncharacterized. The record is from RefSeq and is a predicted model, not a curated record. The transcript is spliced from 4 exons. Lineage: Eukaryota; Viridiplantae; Streptophyta; Magnoliopsida; Rosales; Cannabaceae.
CAGCUAAUUAUGAAGUUCUUUCUUUUGAUAGUUUCUUUGAAGUGUUCCACAUUUUUACCAUCAUGGUUAGUAGAUGGUAACAUAAUCUCUACAAAGAUCAAGAGUGCAUCUAGCAACCAUGAUCUUGAAAGAAUUAAUUGGAAAAGCAACCCAGCUAGAGCCUGUCCUAAUUGUGAAUUUGUGAUUGACAACAAUGAAGUAAGAUUUCCAUUAUUUCUUUAUCCUCUGUGUACUUGGGAGAAUUAUAAAGAUGAUAGAGAAAAGGGAAUCACGGGGGCAGAGAAACAAGCUCUGAGGUCCCAGCCUCUCAUGGGCAUCCACAUAGUGAUAUCUACAGUUUUCUGGUGCUGGGGUUAGGCGGGGAGCCUAGUUUCAUUAAAUAAAAAAUCUGGAUGAAUUUUUAUAAUGCCAUAUUAUUGUCUGGUGAAGUAGAAUUUUAUUGAAUAACUUGCUAAUAGUAGGGCUAACUACUUAAAUAAUAGGUAUAAGCUCUUUUAAUGUAGACUAUGGGUUCUACUUUGCAUCUAUUAUAAUUGGGUUACAGGAUGGCUACUCAUAAUGAGUGCAAAUAUUUUUCAUAAUACUGUCUCAUUUGUCAGACGAAGUAGAAAUUGCUAGUGUAACUUUCUUACAGUAUGGUUAAAUACUUAAAUUCUACUUAUAAAGCUCUUAUAGACUAUGAGAUCUCCAUCUCGUCUAUUAUAAUUGAGUAGCAGCUUGUUUAAUUAUAACGAGUGCAAAGCAUUUUCAGAAUGCCAUCUUAUAUGAUCUGGCAAAGUAGAGUUUGGUAUGGCUGCUUAGUCCCCUGCAUCUGUGAUUUAGCAAAAAUAUAUUUCCCUUAGUGACCUCCUAGACAUUCUCAAGGAUCAAGGUACUGGAUUGGAAAUUUCUGUCAUGCUAUUUGUGUGCUUACUAUAUAUUUCCUGAGUUGUUUCCUAGAGAGAGUUUUAAUUGGCUGGGUGAAGAGAGAGGGAGAGGCAAGUUCUCGAAAUCCUGUUCUGUUUGUAAUUUUUUUGAUACGUUCUCAUAAUACAAUCAUUCUCCCUAAUGAUCCCUACGAGUUAAUGAGUGGAAAGAUGGUAGAUGGUUACGAAUUAUAUUGGGAAGUGAAAAUUGAUUCAAAAAUGUUUUUUUUUUUGCAAUGUGGUAUACUCUAGACUAGUUGUGCAAUCCAAGAUGUUGAACUUAGAGAGCUAUUACAUAGCUACUAUGGAGCCAGUGAGAAGAAAUAUCACAUUAAUAAUUUAGACGAAGAUAAGGUUAUGGUGUUUUAUAAUGUGGCCGUAAUUAAUGACAUUAGCCUUCAGCCACCUCAACAAAUUAUUGCAGUAGUUUGAAUAGCUGCGUGGCACAUCUUGGUCAAUCCAUGCUAAAAUUUCUCUUGAUUUUGCUCAUUUAUUAUUUUAGAAAGAAUGUUUACCCAAUCUGUCAGUGUUCUCUCACAUUAUUGAUUGCUAGUUUUACUUGUAUAUAUGUUUCUUACAUAUUUUCUAACUUCCAUGCUCAAUUCUGAUCUUUUCAUGCGAUCCUCUACUUGAGAACUUUUAUUUAUUUAUUUUUUAAUGUUUUUUGGAGGAUAGAGAGCCUAGUUCAUUAUUUCAUCUUGUUCUGGGAGAAUUAGGCCAUUUGGAUUCUUAUUGAUGUUGCUGUCUAAUAAUGACAUUUUCUCUAGUAUGGCAAUGGAUGUGUUGAAGGAAAACUGUGCCAAUAUUGUUUUAGUAGAAUAUAUUUAUCAUAGUACUAAAGUCAAAUUAAUGGAGCAUAAUAGCAUGUUAACAUGAUAUUGAAACAUACCAAUCUUGUCUGUACUUGAAAAUAUUUGUAAAAUUGUCUUUGCUGCUAUUAUGUUGUAUUCCUCAUGAACAUAAGGCAACAACUUGAAUUGACAGGCUUUUCAGAAGUAGUGUUAGUGAGACCUUGUAGUGUAACAAUUAUUAUAAUUUUUAUUUCAUUUUUCAUGCUGUCCUCCUAAAUGUUGGUUUCUGAACAUCUUGCAGAGCUUUACACAAAGAAAAUGUUUCAGUUGCUACAGUCUGCUUAUUCUACAAUAAGGAUCCAAGACACUGCUCUUUUUCUAGGAAUGAACGAGGAUAAUUCCACAAAUUCAAGCUAAGUGGGGCACAACAGAGCAGAAAGAUCGAUCUAUACUCUGGAAGGUGGCCAGAAAAGAUUCUUCUGGCAACUAUGUCACCGAGUGUGACAAGGUCAUGGGAGAGGCCAUCGAAGAAAUGCUUGAGCAAAGAAAAGAAGGCAAACUGAUUGAGAUCGGAACAAAUGACAUCCUAACACAAGUGUUAGGUACUGCUGAGCACCUCCGUCGAGUUCGAGGCCAGAGUCAAGGUGUCACACAAAGAGACUACUUUCAUAAGCCAAUUGGGGGGGGGGGGGGGUCUAAGAGGCUUGCUAGAGUUACCUUUUGAAAUCAUAGCUAGAGUUUCUUGAGAGGAUGAGUCAUAGCUAGAGUAACUUUUGAAAUCAGAAUUAAAAAAAUAUACUAAUUGUAGUUCUUAGUUAGCACUUACAUAGUUAUUCCAAUUGAGUUCUAUAUUCCAUGUGAGUUAGCACUUACAUAUUUUGAUCGUGUAAUUUUUAGAGUUGGAACAUACUGAGUUCUAUUGAUUUUGUUUGCCUGUU